CCCUUAGAUGUUCUGGGCUGCACGCGCGCUACACUGAUGCGCUCAACGAGUUUUAACCUUGCCUGGAAAGGUUGGGUAAUCUUUUUAAAACGCAUCGUGAUGGGGAUAGAUUAUUGCAAUUAUUGGUCUUCAACGAGGAAUUCCUAGUAGACGUAGUUCAUCAGACUGCAUCGAUUACGUCCCUGCCCUUUGUACACACCGCCCGUCGCUCCUACCGAUUGAAUGCUCAGGUGAGCCAUUCGGACUUUCAUCAUGCUGGUUUCCAGUUUUGAUGAAGGAAAGUCUUGCGAACCUUAUCAUUUAGAGGAAGGAGAAGUCGUAACA
Molecule: ribosomal RNA, 324 nt
Filed under: uncultured eukaryote
Lineage: Eukaryota
Description: partial 18S ribosomal RNA
Rfam family: Eukaryotic small subunit ribosomal RNA
Source: RNAcentral